UACGAGUACCCCAAGCGUUAUCCGGAAUCAUUGGGCGUAAAGGGUGUGUAGGCGGUCUGGUUAGUCUUCUGUCAAAAUUUCGGGCUCAACCCGAAACUUGCAGAGGAAACGGCCAAACUUGAGGGUGCGAGAGGUGAAUGGAACUCAUGGAGUAGGGGUGAAAUCCGUUGAUAUCAUGGGGAACACCAAAAGCGAAGGCAAUUCACUGGCGCAUUUCUGACGCUGAAACACGAAAGCGUGAGUAGCGAACGGG
This 253-nucleotide ribosomal RNA is filed under the name uncultured bacterium. RNAcentral's name for it is "partial 16S ribosomal RNA". It matches the Rfam family "Bacterial small subunit ribosomal RNA", at positions 524 to 776 of the family's 1533-position model. The record is from RNAcentral.